UCUGAAAAUAUACCUGAAUAUUUUAUUAUUUAACUUGUUCAAUUUUCAAAUCUUAUUGAAUGGUCAAGUUAUAGUGGGGAAGAGAAGUUUCAAGACUACUGAACGAAUCGAGAUCUAAAUGGGGACAGAUAACUUCAUUCCUGUUUACUUUUCGAUUCAAUUUUGUCACUUAUUACGAUCUGGAGUUAUAUUUAUGAUGAUCAGUUAUGGCCGUGUCUACUGUAAUAGGAGGUAGUAUCAUGUCAUAUUUAUUGUUUUUAGAGUUAAUAAAAAUAUGGUCUAGGCAUGA
Leptinotarsa decemlineata (Colorado potato beetle) is the source of this 289-nucleotide long non-coding RNA. RefSeq lists it as uncharacterized. Lineage: Eukaryota; Metazoa; Arthropoda; Insecta; Coleoptera; Chrysomelidae. The record is from RefSeq and is a predicted model, not a curated record.